ACGGCUCAGUAACACGUCGAUAAUCUGCCCUUUAAGUCUGGGAUAACCUUGGGAAACUGAGGAUAACACCGGAUGGAAAAACAAUUCUGGAACGAGUGUUUUUUUAAAAGCAAUGCUUAAGGAUGAGUCGGCGGCGGAUUAGGUAGUGUCGGUGUAAAAGACCAACAAGCCGAAGAUCCGUAAGGGCCUUUAGCGAGGGAGCCCUGAGAAGGAAUCUGAGACACUAUUCCUAGCCCUACGGGGUGCAGCAGCUAAGAAUUUUCUGCAAUAUGCGAAAGCGUGACAGAGCGAGCCAAAGUGUUUUUCCGCAUAGGAAAAACUUUUGCUUACUGUAAAAAAGUAGGCGAAUAGGGACUGGGCAAGACCGGUGCCAGCCGCCGCGGUAAUCCCGGCGGUCCAAGUCGCAACCAUCAUUAUUGGGUCUAAAACAUCCGUAGCUUGUUUCGUAAGUCUCCUGUGAAAUUCUGUCUCUUAAGGGCAGAGCGUGCAGGAGAUACUGCGUUGCUAGAGACCGGAGGAUGUAGGGAGUACAGCGAAGGUAGUGGUAAAAUAUGUUAAUCUUCGCUGGACUAACAAGAGCGAAGGCACCCUACAAAUACGGUUCUGACAGUGAGGGAUGAAGGCUAGGGGCGCAAAAUGGAUUAGAUACCCAUGUAGUCCUAGCAGUAAACACUGCACACUAAACAUCGGGAUCUCCUCGAGAGAUUUCGGUGCUGUACCGAAGGGGAAGAGUGUGCUACCUGGGAAGUAUAGCCGCAAGGCCGAAACUUAAAGGAAUUGGCGGGGGAG
Molecule: ribosomal RNA, 789 nt
Filed under: uncultured archaeon
Lineage: Archaea
Description: bacterial SSU rRNA
Rfam family: Archaeal small subunit ribosomal RNA
Source: RNAcentral